RNAcentral lists this ribosomal RNA (475 nucleotides) under Bacillus safensis. RNAcentral describes it as "bacterial SSU rRNA". It matches the Rfam family "Bacterial small subunit ribosomal RNA", at positions 56 to 514 of the family's 1533-position model. Lineage: Bacteria; Bacillati; Bacillota; Bacilli; Caryophanales; Bacillaceae. The record is from RNAcentral.
UGCAAGUCGAGCGGACAGAAGGGAGCUUGCUCCCGGAUGUUAGCGGCGGACGGGUGAGUAACACGUGGGUAACCUGCCUGUAAGACUGGGAUAACUCCGGGAAACCGGAGCUAAUACCGGAUAGUUCCUUGAACCGCAUGGUUCAAGGAUGAAAGACGGUUUCGGCUGUCACUUACAGAUGGACCCGCGGCGCAUUAGCUAGUUGGUGGGGUAAUGGCUCACCAAGGCGACGAUGCGUAGCCGACCUGAGAGGGUGAUCGGCCACACUGGGACUGAGACACGGCCCAGACUCCUACGGGAGGCAGCAGUAGGGAAUCUUCCGCAAUGGACGAAAGUCUGACGGAGCAACGCCGCGUGAGUGAUGAAGGUUUUCGGAUCGUAAAGCUCUGUUGUUAGGGAAGAACAAGUGCGAGAGUAACUGCUCGCACCUUGACGGUACCUAACCAGAAAGCCACGGCUAACUACGUGCCAGCAC